UUUUAGUGUCCAUAAUAACGAGUCCAUUUAAAUUAGUUCAUACGGAAACCUCUUUACUGAGCCAUAUCCAUUUUUUCGAAAUCAAUAUUUUGAAGGUGGAGAUGAAAGAAAAAUUAACAAA
RNAcentral lists this small RNA (121 nucleotides) under Arabidopsis thaliana (thale cress). RNAcentral describes it as "ATSL112140". The record is from RNAcentral. Lineage: Eukaryota; Viridiplantae; Streptophyta; Magnoliopsida; Brassicales; Brassicaceae.